GACGAACGCUGGCGGCGUGCCUAAUACAUGCAAGUCGUGCGGACCUUUUAAAAGCUUGCUCUUAAAAGGUUAGCGGCGGACGGGUGAGUAACACGUGGGCAACCUGCCUGUAAGACUGGGAUAAUGCCGGGAAACCGGGGCUAAUACCGGAUCGUUUUUCCUCCGCAUGGAGGCAAAAGGAAAGGCGGCUUCGCCCGCCACUUACAGACGGGCCCGCGGCGCAUUAGCUAGUUGGCGGGGUAACGGCCCACCAAGGCAACGAUGCGUAGCCGACCUGAGAGGGUGAUCGGCCACAUUGGGACUGGGACACGGCCCAAACUCCUACGGGAGGCAGCAGUAGGGAAUCUUCCGCAAUGGACGAAAGUCUGACGGAGCAACGCCGCGUGAGUGAAGAAGGCCUUCGGGUCGUAAAACUCUGUUGCCGGGGAAGAACAAGUGCCGUUCGAACAGGGCGGCGCCUUGACGGUACCCGGCCAGAAAGCCACGGCUAACUACGUG
RNAcentral lists this ribosomal RNA (498 nucleotides) under uncultured bacterium. RNAcentral describes it as "partial 16S ribosomal RNA". It matches the Rfam family "Bacterial small subunit ribosomal RNA", at positions 28 to 507 of the family's 1533-position model. The record is from RNAcentral.